CCUACGGGGGGCAGCAGUGGGGAAUAUUGGGCAAUGGGCGCAAGCCUGACCCAGCAAUGCCGCGUGAAGGAAGCAGGUCUUCGGAUUGUAAACUUCUUUAGACAGGGACGAUAAUGACUGUACCUGUAGAAUAAGCCACGGCUAACUACGUGCCAGCAGCCGCGGUAAUACGUAGGUGGCAAGCGUUAUCCGGAUUUACUGGGUGUAAAGGGCGUGUAGGCGGUACGUCAAGUCAAAUGUGAAAUCUUCCGGCUUAACCGGGAGCGUGCAUCUGAAACUGGCGCACUUGAGUACUGGAGGGGAAAGCGGAAUUCCUAGUGUAGCGGUAAAAUGCGUAGAUAUUAGGAGGAACACCGGUGGCGAAGGCGGCUUUCUGGACAGUAACUGACGCUGAGGCGCGAAAGCGUGGGGAGCAAACAGGAUUAGAUACCCCAGUAGUC
This 440-nucleotide ribosomal RNA is filed under the name uncultured Oscillospiraceae bacterium. Its description in RNAcentral is "bacterial SSU rRNA". It matches the Rfam family "Bacterial small subunit ribosomal RNA", at positions 338 to 795 of the family's 1533-position model. Lineage: Bacteria; Bacillati; Bacillota; Clostridia; Eubacteriales; Oscillospiraceae. The record is from RNAcentral.